UAUCAUUGCCUGUGGGAUCCGAGUAAGCCACUGACAUAAUACAAAGGUUUACGUCAAAAUACGAAAAGUGAAGAGCAAAAUCAUUCUGUUUCACGUUAAUGGGUAUUUCUGUGACGUAAAAAUCUCCUCUCCCUUUAGAUUAAUUGCAUUGAUAAAAUACAGCACUGGAUGUUAUUACAUGUACGGCUGCCCCACCGUUUCAGAGGCAACGUUGGAGGGCGGGGAGCCACUUCCAGUCCUCUCCCCACUUGCCCAACACUUUUUUCCUCUGGUAAUUGACUUCUCCUUUUGCCCGCUCACCAAUGUCCUGACAUAGGACACUGUCCAGGUUGUGGGCAGAGCACACGGCGGGUCGGUGACAGCCCUGAACCAGAGCCAUGUUCCUGUGCCGUGGUGUGGGGUGCGUAAACUGCAGGGCAGGGCAGGGUGUUGGCCACGGAUGCUGUUCCUGGUGCCUUCUCGCUCCUAAUAAAAGCGUCCCUGCCAAAGAAACCAACAGCCUGUGUAUGAAAUAUUUCCUUACCUGUGGGUGCAUUGUCUUUCAGAAACUAAAGAGAAAUCAAGAUCCCCUCCACGCAUCUCUUGAUCUUCACCAGACUUGAAGAACCUGUAGCUCUUAGAGCUGGAGUGGAAAGUGACCUGUUGUGUUUGUGGAAGCUUUGGAAUCCCGCAGGAGCAGGAUCACUCAGCACCAUGGCGGUGUGCCAAGUACAACUUGUUCUGUAGCGCAGCGCUCGGAGUUGCAUUAUCAACUGAAG
Molecule: long non-coding RNA, 758 nt
Filed under: Zonotrichia albicollis (white-throated sparrow)
Lineage: Eukaryota; Metazoa; Chordata; Aves; Passeriformes; Passerellidae
Description: lncRNA (ENSZALG00000000426.1)
Source: RNAcentral